AUGACACGUUUUGGUUUUGAUCCGAUGUGGGUCGCAAUGAUAAUGAGAUGCGUCACCUCGGCGCGUUUUUCUGUAAAGUUAAAUGGUGGGCUAUCGAGGAGCUUUACACCUUCUCGGGGUUUAAGACAGGGGGAUCCGUUGUCACCAUAUUUGUUCCUCUUCCGCGUGGAGGGUUUUUCAGCGCUACUCAAGAAGGCUCAAACUGACAAACAACUUUCCGGGGUGAAGUGUGGGAGCACUGGCCCCCAUAUAACUCACUUGUUGUUUGCAGAUGAUAGUAUAGUUUUCCUUGAGGGAACCAAGGAGAAAAUGGAAACACUAAAACAGAUCCUUGAAAAGUAUGAGAAAUCAUCCGGACAGAAGGUAAAUGUGCAGAAAUCCUCCAUCUUUUUUGGAAAAGGAAGCCAUGAUGUGAUGAAGGAUCAGAUUAAGCAGAUUGUGGGGAUUCAAUCUGAGGCUCUUAUGGAACGAUACUUGGGCCUCCCAACACUGGUUGGUAGGUCCAAGGAUGGCACUUUUAAAUAUGUUACGGAGUGUGCUAAGGGUAAAGUGUGUGGUUGGAAGGGGCAAGGAUUGUCCAAAGCAGCUAGAGAAGCUCUCGUCAAAUCUGUCCUGCAAGCGACACCGACCUAUACCAUGAGUUGUUUUCACCUCUCGAAGAAGAUGUGCUGGAAGCCUGGAACCUGA
This 687-nucleotide ribosomal RNA is filed under the name Triticum aestivum (bread wheat). Its description in RNAcentral is "partial small subunit ribosomal RNA". The record is from RNAcentral. Lineage: Eukaryota; Viridiplantae; Streptophyta; Magnoliopsida; Poales; Poaceae.